CCUUCUGGCUUUUGGGGGGCAGUUCUCGGAGAAUUACCCCAGGGAAAACUGGCUGGUGGCGGCUGAGCAUUUAUAGGGUCAUCCGUUUUUCAUCCUUGGAUGUCUGCCCUUCCUGUCAUUCAGAAGAAUUUACCAAGAAGUUGGAUUGUUCUCCCACUCACUGGGAUCAUGAGCUGGGAAUAAGUUGCCAUGAGACGGGUUAGUU
RNAcentral lists this non-coding RNA (205 nucleotides) under Lepisosteus oculatus (spotted gar). Its description in RNAcentral is "Eukaryotic large subunit ribosomal RNA". It matches the Rfam family "Eukaryotic large subunit ribosomal RNA", at positions 2781 to 2988 of the family's 3401-position model. Lineage: Eukaryota; Metazoa; Chordata; Actinopteri; Semionotiformes; Lepisosteidae. The record is from Rfam by way of RNAcentral.